CGGACGGGUGAGUAAUGUCUGGGAAACUGCCUGAUGGAGGGGGAUAACUACUGGAAACGGUAGCUAAUACCGCAUAACGUCGCAAGACCAAAGUGGGGGACCUUCGGGCCUCAUGCCAUCAGAUGUGCCCAGAUGGGAUUAGCUAGUAGGUGGGGUAACGGCUCACCUAGGCGACGAUCCCUAGCUGGUCUGAGAGGAUGACCAGCCACACUGGAACUGAGACACGGUCCAGACUCCUACGGGAGGCAGCAGUGGGGAAUAUUGCACAAUGGGCGCAAGCCUGAUGCAGCCAUGCCGCGUGUGUGAAGAAGGCCUUCGGGUUGUAAAGCACUUUCAGCGGGGAGGAAGGCGAUAAGGUUAAUAACCUUGUCGAUUGACGUUACCCGCAGAAGAAGCACCGGCUAACUCCGUGCCAGCAGCCGCGGUAAUACGGAGGGUGCAAGCGUU
RNAcentral lists this ribosomal RNA (447 nucleotides) under Klebsiella pneumoniae. RNAcentral describes it as "bacterial SSU rRNA". It matches the Rfam family "Bacterial small subunit ribosomal RNA", at positions 99 to 542 of the family's 1533-position model. The record is from RNAcentral. Lineage: Bacteria; Pseudomonadati; Pseudomonadota; Gammaproteobacteria; Enterobacterales; Enterobacteriaceae.